GAUCCUGGCCUCAGGAUGAACGCUAGCUACAGGCUUAACACAUGCAAGUCGAGGGGCAGCAUGUUGGUUGCUUGCAACCAACGAUGGCGACCGGCGCACGGGUGAGUAACGCGUAUCCAACCUUCCGCAUACUCGGGAAUAGCCUUUCGAAAGAAAGAUUAAUGCCCGAUGGUUUCCCGAAUCCGCAUGAGAGCGGGAAUAAAGAUUCAUCGGUAUGCGAUGGGGAUGCGUCCCA
This 235-nucleotide ribosomal RNA is filed under the name uncultured bacterium. Its description in RNAcentral is "partial 16S ribosomal RNA". It matches the Rfam family "Bacterial small subunit ribosomal RNA", at positions 15 to 240 of the family's 1533-position model. The record is from RNAcentral.